CCGCCGACUUCGGCGGCGGCGAAGCAACAGCGACGGAUUGUUCAGUUUGUCUUGAAAUCGCGACUCGAACGGUCAUGGUGUGCGGAGGUUGAGCGGGAAAGUGGAAGAGUGCAAAAGCGGAAAAGCGCCGUUAAAAACCCAGUUGAAAACUCGUGCGAAUUGCAAGCAGUGCGAAGAAACAAACAAGAAGAAUAAAAGCGAAUUAGCUCAAAAACAGAGGUUUCAGUGACAAGUGUGCAACGAAACUCGACAGCAGUGAGGCUUUUCCCGAACUCCGAGCCGAACCAACGCUGCCAAGACGAGCGAACCCCAAAGCGAGUGUGUUUAUUUAACACACUUCCUCGUUGCGAAAGCCUUCAGUUCGUGUCUGCUGCUCGCGAAGUGCGCGCCACAGUGAAGAGGGAAAGCGGAAACGGAAACGAAAACGGAAAGGAAAACGAGUGCGUCGCAAGCGAUAGCGGAAACGGAAGCGAAGGAAUGAACAUGUGUGUGUGACGGGACGAUCUCUCUGCUCACCGAAUCCAGAAUAGAUCGCAGCCAAUGUCGCUCAGUGCCCAGUUAAAGAUUGCUCAAUCAGUUAGCAAAGUGACAACCGCGAAAGUCAGUGACUCAAACUGCAGCGCUAAAAUACAAAAAUACUCUAUUGCCGACUUUAGCCAGGCCAAAAGGCAGGCAGGCAGCAUGUGUGCCACGGGGAAAGGUAACCACAGGCUCUGCAGCCUCAGUGCCCUGCUCCUCGUCCUGGUCGCCCAAACCGUACACGUGGAAUACGCCCGGGCGGAUUAUGAGAACACCUGGAAUCUAUAUUACGAGCCGCCCUGCUGCACGGGCUCAUCUGCUGCCCAUCAUCUGCGCCACCACAAAGAACAUGUGCAGGACUUCAGUUGCGGGCCGCUGCACUACAAGACUUUCUACAUGGAUGAGCACAACAAUGCGCUAUAUGUGGGCGCCAUGGAUCGCAUAUUUCGGCUCAAUCUGCGCAACAUCAGCCAAUCGAUUUGUGAGCGCGAUGUACUCAUAUUGGAGCCCACCGGAUCGGAUAUCCUGAAUUGUGUGUCCAAGGGAAAACGGGAGAAGGUGGAAUGCCGAAAUCACAUAAGGGUCAUCCAGCCGAUGAACUUCAAUGGCCAGAAGCUAUAUGUUUGCGGGACCAACGCCCACAAUCCCAAGGAUUACGUAAUAAACGCAAACUUAACACAUUUACCCAGAUCCCAGUACGUGCCCGGCAUUGGCCUGGGCAUUGGCAAGUGUCCCUACGAUCCUGCUGACAACUCAACCGCCGUCUAUGUGGAGAACGGAAAUCCCUUCGGCCUGCCCGCCCUGUACGCCGGCACGAAUGCAGAGUUCACCAAGGCGGAUUCCGUCAUAUUCCGAUCGGACCUGUACAACCUGACGGAUGGCGGCAAGUUGGCCAACUUCAAGAGAACCGUGAAAUACGACUCCAAGCUGCUGGACAAACCCAACUUCGUGGGCUCCUUUGAGAUUGGUGAAUUUGUGUACUUCUUCUUCCGCGAACAUGCCGUGGAGUACAUAAAUUGCGGAAAAGCUGUCUACUCCCGAGUGGCUCGGGUGUGCAAGAGCGACCGCGGUGGAAAGUACUUGAUCAACCAGAAUUGGGCCACGUAUCUGAAGGCGCGGAUGAACUGCAGCAUCUCCAGCGAGUUUCCCUUCUACUUCAACGAGAUACAGUCGGUCUACAAGAUGCCAAAGGACGAUACCAAGUUCUAUGCCACGUUUACAACGAAUACGAAUGGUCUGAUUGGAUCGGCUGUGUGCAGCUACGACAUCCGGGACAUCAAUGCGGCCUUCGACGGCAAAUUCAAGGAGCAGGCCACCUCGAACAGCGCCUGGCUGCCCGUGCUGAACUCCAAAGUGCCGGAGCCACGUCCUGGCACUUGCCACAACGACACCGGCACGCUGCCGGACUCCGUGCUGAAUUUCAUUCGCAAACAUCCGCUAAUGGACAAGGCGGUCGAUCAUGAAUUUGGCAAUCCGGUCUUCUUCAAGCGGGACGUCAUACUCACCAAGCUGGUGGUGGACAAGAUACGGAUCGACAAGCUGAACCAGGAGUUCCUAGUGUACUUUGUGGCCACGACGUCUGGUCACAUCUACAAGAUAGUGCAGUUCAUGCACUACGGCCAGCGGCACUCGAACCUGGUGGACAUAUUCGAGGCCUCGCCGCACAACGAGCCCAUCCGGGAGAUGACCCUCAGCCAGAAGACAGGAUCCCUGUACGUGGCCACCGAUCACCAGGUGAAGCAGAUCGACAUUGCCAUGUGCGCCCGCCGCUACGACAGCUGCUUCCGCUGCGUCUCGGAUCCCUACUGCGGCUGGGACAAGGACGUCAAUGCCUGCCGACCCUACCAGCUGGGUCUGCUGCAGGAUGUGGCCAACGAGACGUCCGGGAUCUGCGACACCAGUGUGCUGCGCAAGAAGGUCACCUCCUCCUACGGCCAAACCCUGCACCUCUCCUGCUUUGUCAAAAUGCCGGAAGUGCUGAGGAAGAAGCAGACGCGCUGGUACCACCACUCCACCGAAAAAGGACGCUACGAGGUCCGCUACACCCCCACCAAAUACAUCGACACCAACGAGGGCGGCCUGGUCCUCCUGGCGGUGAACGAGGGCGACGGCGGCCGCUACGACAGCUACUUGGACGGCACCCUGCUCUGCAGCUACGGCGUCACCGUGGACGCCCACAGAUGCUCGCCGCCGUCGCAGAAGCAGGACUACCAGAAAAUCUACUCGCACUGGUGCAACGAGUUCGAGAAAUACAAAUCGGCCAUGAAGCAGUGGCAGGCCAAACAGGAGCAAUGCGGCCUCAAGGACAAAACAGGACCAAUCAGCAGCAAUGGAAAGCAUGUGAAUGAUGUGUUCAGCAACGAUGCUUUGGUCUGACCCAGAAAGUACUUGUACAGCUUUGAGUUCUUGUCGUCGGCGACGGAGGGCGUGGCCACCGCCCACCGCAAAUUGUACAUUUUCGUGUUCGUGCUUACCAUAUUUGCUCGCUUCUAAAGUUUCUAGUUAAAAUGUAAAUGCGCAGAAAAGCAGUAAGCACCCGAGGAAAAUGCGAAGAACAAGUAUGAAAAUGGGACAAGAGCCGAGCUAAGGAAAAGCGAUGAGUAAAGAAAAUGAUUAUAGAAAGGAAAAACAACCACUACAAAGACUGAAAUUUUUAAGCUUUUAAAAUCGACAAUAUUUCUGAUAAUUUCGAUGCGUUUUUUGGUCAUGCUUUCGUUUCGUUUUGAGAUGUUGUCAGCGUCAAACUGAAUAAUUUUCGACAUUAACUAACUGAUAUACAAAGAUGGAGUAAACGAGAAAAGUUACUAGCAAAAGGAUCCUGCCAUAAGUCAAAGGGAAAUUACGGUUUUACACUCACACAAAGACACACCUACAGAAGAAACUAUUUCUAUUUCGAGCUAAGGUUAAGGUAAUCUAACGAUACGCAUACAGAUAUGGAUAUGGAAAAAGCUACAGAAACCGAAACAGAGACAGAUACAGAUUAUGAUUGAGAUACAGAUACAGAUACAGAUGGAACUGCAACCACCUAAGUGAGAAUCUGACCUAAGGCAAUGUAUUUACCAAGCUCGUGAGGCGCAACGAUUCGAUUAUGUUUUCCAUUUGGUUCAGUUUCCGGCAACUCGUCGCUUGGCCAUUUCGGGUUUGGGGUUGGGAAGAUCUUAAACGAAUUUGUAUAUUACUUAGCCAUAUUUGUUCGACUAAACUAGCGUAAGAUAUAUACACGAUUAGCAGUCCCUGUUUAGGUCAUAGACAAGUACCGAACCAACCUAAUACGAUAGCCAAACCCAGAAACCGAAAUAAAGUUUCGGAAAAACAAUUGACGCACAGCAUGAACGUCUAUAUGGAUAUGGACGUACAUAUAUAGCUUAGGGCGACUUGUACAUAGAAGAGCUUUAGACGAUAAGUAUGAACCAGCUUAGGUUUGAUUUUUACUCGGCUCCGAUUAUGAUUUGAAGUUCUCUAUUCGGCAUUAACUCGCUCUUGUAUAGAUUGUGCGUUGGCCUAAUGUUUACGAUAAGCAAUACAUAGUUAUAUAUGCAUAUGCGUAAUUAUAAAUAAAUAUAGACACAUGAAGUUACUGCAUUGAGACCAACAUGCUCAUGGUUACUUACCCGUACUUAUCGUAGGUAAGUUGGUGUGGCAAUUACUUUUUUUUUAGUAAUAUUGCAGAAAUUCAUUCUCACCAAAACAAAACAA
This is an RNA transcript of Drosophila erecta, 4215 nucleotides long. It is a transcript of the gene named semaphorin-2A, with no coding region annotated. The record is from RefSeq and is a predicted model, not a curated record. The transcript is spliced from 16 exons. NCBI's taxonomy places the organism in Eukaryota, Metazoa, Arthropoda, Insecta, Diptera, Drosophilidae.